Molecule: long non-coding RNA, 457 nt
Filed under: Numida meleagris (helmeted guineafowl)
Lineage: Eukaryota; Metazoa; Chordata; Aves; Galliformes; Numididae
Description: lncRNA (ENSNMEG00000022336.1)
Source: RNAcentral
GGGUCCCAGGAUGCAAGCCAGGGCACUAGUGUUCCGUUAGAAGGUUUGGUCAGCCUGAAAUGCCUGUGGGCUGGGCUGAUUUCCAGAGCACCCUGAGGAAAACCUGCACUGGGUCUUCAGGACUCCAGAAAGCGUGACUCUUUGACUGUUCCAUGGUCUGAUAUGGCUUAGAGUGCCUCACCUCCUCCACUGCCCAGCUCUGCCAGAGUAUUCGAAGCACCUCGCAAACAUGACACCUUCCAGGAGCUAUCGGUGUUGUUCCUCAGCAAAGCCGAGUCAGGAAUCACAGAAUCAGUUCCCACAAGAUGUUGUGCCUUUUGAAAUGCUGAGGAUCAAUUGCUUUUGUAACAGGCAGGUAUGAUGGAAGGUUUUCUUGUGAUUCUCUAAAUCUGAAAAGGGUUCUGUGUGAAUGCUCUGAUUUUUAUGUAGCUGUAAGUGUAGUUACUCGGCAACACAG